RNAcentral lists this ribosomal RNA (440 nucleotides) under uncultured bacterium. Its description in RNAcentral is "partial 16S ribosomal RNA". It matches the Rfam family "Bacterial small subunit ribosomal RNA", at positions 338 to 795 of the family's 1533-position model. The record is from RNAcentral.
CCUACGGGGGACAGCAGUGGGGAAUAUUGGACAAUGGGGGAAACCCUGAUCCAGCGACGCCGCGUGAGUGAAGAAGUAUUUCGGUACGUAAAGCUCUAUCAGCAGGAAAGAAAAUGACGGUACCUGACUAAGAAGCCCCGGCUAACUACGUGCCAGCAGCCGCGGUAAUACGUAGGGGGCAAGCGUUAUCCGGAUUUACGGGGUGUAAAGGGAGCGUAGACGGCAGCGCAAGUCUGGAGUGAAAUGCCAGGGCUCAACCCCGGAACUGCUCUGGAAACUGUGAAGCUGGAGUGCAGGAGAGGUAAGCAGAAUUCCUGGUGUAGCGGUGAAAUGCGUAGAUAUCAGGAGGAACACCGGCGGCGAAGGCGGCUAACUGGACUGUAACUGACGUUGAGGCGCGAAGGCGUGGGGAGCAAACAGGAUUAGAUACCCCAGUAGUC